This is a long non-coding RNA of Pygocentrus nattereri (red-bellied piranha), 327 nucleotides long. Lineage: Eukaryota; Metazoa; Chordata; Actinopteri; Characiformes; Serrasalmidae. The record is from Ensembl.
UUUUUGUAUCUUCUUUGUUGUUUUAGACCCGCUGUGUGGCUCCAUCCCUCGUUUGAAGGUGGGUUUCUCUGUACUGUGUGAUUCUGCAGUUCUGUACCAGUGUCCCUCUGGCUAUGUGCUACAUGGGGCUACACACAUCACCUGUGACCCCAACACACACUUAUGGACUCCACAACCACCCACCUGUCAAGAUAUAGAUGAAUGUUUCACACAGCCUUCUGUCUGCCCUCCAAACCUGCAGUGUAUCAACACACCAGGCUCCUUCAUCUGCUCAGGUAUGCACUGUCCCAGACAAAGACAUAGAGCUCUUAUGAAUUCUUUGUCUUG